AGAGGAACUAGGAGAUAGAAAAGCGAAAAAGAAGGGUCAGCGGCCAGGCGCGGCGAGCCUGUUCAACAUCCCAACAGGCGAUCUUGAGCCGGGCAGCUCCUAACCCAGUUCUGGCCGCAGCGCCGAGAGACUGAACAAACAGGGCACAUGUUUUACUAUCCUGGAAAACUCGCCACCUGUGCGUAUAACCUGAAGAAUCAUCAAGUGGAGAAUCAGUGGGGAGCAGGUCUGUGAAUACAAAGCGCCAUCUUAGUGAUGAAUGUGAGGAUUCACGCCUGGCCUGACUCUUCCUGAGUCUGCCUCUUCUGAAACUGCAUCAGUGUGGUCCCUUCCCGUGAGCAAGGCUGCAAGCUGCUCUUAGAAAUCAGGGGCAGCUCGGGGAGGAGGUACCUAGGCAGGAGCUGUUUAUGCUCAAGUCCUGGAGAAGCAGCAGCUGUGUUUGCUCUCAGCCCAGAGUGAUCAAGGGCAACCUCCUUGUGAACAAACUGGAGUUGUGUGGAGAUCCAUCUAGGAGAGCUCAUCUGCUCCCGAAGAGGGCUGUGCAGAGCUGUCGUAACAACUGGACUAGCGAAUACAAUACAACUUGCAUCUGCCAACACAGAAGAUGAUAUUUUAAAAAAAAGAAAACAUCGUGUUAAGAAAACUCAUCUGUUACUCAAGGCAAGACCUCAGGCCCCCAUGGGUGGGUAGGAAUUGAAAAUAAGGAAGUCUGCAGUCCGUCACUCACAAGUCAGGACGGUGGGCAUGAGGGCCGCGAACAUGAGGAACAGCAUGGAGAAGAAGAGGAAGCCCGAGUUACUCAAGACCUUCUUGGCUUCGUUCCCGAUCCCCAAGUACAGCAGGCCAAUGAGGAGGCCGAUCCCGAUGUGCGAGGUGAUGCGCAGGUGCGUCAGAACCUGGGGACAGAGCCGCGUCUUACCCGGUGCAUGCACAGCAGCCCUCAGCUCCGAGGGUAACCCGGCUGUGGCUUUGGAAGCGUGUGACCCUGAACUCUGGACAGUGGGUCUCAGGCUUCAUCAUCCCCUCUCCACCAGAAAAACAAGCCAAACCCUAAGACAACUCACAUUCAUGCACAUGCUCACACACAUUAAUACACGCAUGUUCACACACAUACGCACACAUGUGGGGCUUUUGUUGUGUUAAAACAGACACAACUACUAUUGUUUGUUAAAGAUUCAAAAUGGAGAACAGGUCUACCCUGAGAAAAGAGGAAAGGUAAAAGCAAUGGAGAGGGAAAAGUGUCUGUAUCAGAGGCUCCAAGUGCUCUGCUAUGGGCUGCAGUGAACCCCUCUGUCUUUCAAAUUAGGUCCCAGAAGCCUCGCCAGUCGUUCAGCCCCUCCUAAGCAGGUGGCCAGAUAGUCCACUUCCCUGGUGGACAUUAUGGUUCCCACGUAUUCACCACCUCCUUCCCUAUAAGGAAUUGCCACCUCCCAACCCAAUCCUCAUGAUUCACAGUGCUUUCCUGAAGGAGAAAUGGACUUGCCCAGUGCCCUGGUUUCAGGCUUGGCCAUGUGACUGGUUUAGGCCAAUGGCGUGUGAGUACACAUGAUGAUCUGCCACCUCCAAUUGGAAGUCUCAAGGACUGUCAUUUGCUUUCUCUCUUGCACUUUUCCUUUGACCUGUUCCAGAGAGGCAUGCCCAGAUAGGAGCUGUCCCCAGGUGAGAAGACUUAUGGGACAGAGACACAACACAACCCACUGUUGCCACCCCUCACAUAAGCAGGACACAAAUAUUGAUUGGGGGGACACGGACAUUUUGGGAGUGUUUGUUACUGCAGCAGUAUAGUCAACACUGACUAUUGCAAAUGGAAGAAAAGUAAUUUGAAAGUUUAGUGAUAUGGCUCGGGUCUGUGUCCCCACACAAAUCUCACAUUAAAUUGUAAUCCCCAGUGUUGGAAUUGAGACCUGACUGGAUCAUGGGGCAGACGGACUUCUCCUUCAGUCCUGUGCUUGUGACAGUGAGUGAGUGAGUGCGACAUUUGGAUUUUUUUUUUUUUUUUUGAGGCAGAGUUUUGCUCUUAUUACCCAGGCUGGAGUGCAAUGGCACAAUCUCAGCUCACUGCAACCUCCGCCUCCUGGGUUCAAGCAAAUCUCCUGCCUCAGCCUCCCAAGUAGCUGGGAUUACAGGCACGCACCACCAUGCCCAGCUAAUUUUUGUGUUUUUUAGUAGAGACGGGGUUUCACCAUAUUGACCAAGAUGGUCUCAAUCUCUUGACCUCAUGAUCCACCUGCCCUGGCCUCCCAAAGUGCUGGGAUUACAGGCGUGAGCCACCGUGCCCAGCCCAAGAGAUCUGGAUAUUUGUGUGUAGUACUCCAUCCACCUUCUUCUGCUCUGCCAUGUAAGAUCUGCCUACCUCCCCUUCACCUUCCACCAUGAUUGAAAGUUUCCUGAGGCCUCCCCAGCCAUGCUUCCUAUGUAGCCUGUAGAACAAUGAGCUGAUUCAACCUCUUUUCUUUAUAAAUUCCCCAGGCUCAGGCAUUUCCCUCCCUCCCUUCCUUCCUUCCCUCCUUCCUUCCUUCCUUCCUUCCUUCCUUAUUGCUUCCUUCUUUCUUUCUUUCUUUUCUUUUCUUUCUUUUUUGAAACAGGAGUCUUGCUCUGUUGCCCAGGUUGGAGUGCAAUGGUGAGAUCUAGGCUCACUGCAACCUCCACCCCCUGGGUUCAAGGACUUCUCCUGCCUCAGCCUUCCUAGUAGCUGGGAUUAUAGGUGUGCGCUACCAUACCCCCUAAUUAUUAUAUUUUUAGGAGAGAUGGGGUUUUGCCAUGUUGGCUAGGCUGGUCUCAAACUCCUGACCUCAGGUGAUCCACCCACCUUGGCCUCCCAAAGUGUUGGCAUUAGAGGCAUAAGCCACCACGCCCAGCCUCGGGAAUUUCUUUAUAGCAGCGUGAGAAUAAAUGAACACAUUCCAUCAGGGCGAGUCCAUGAGAAAAUGACCCACGGCCUCCCUAGCCAUGGGAGAAGAUGUGAGGCAGCCUUACCGAGUCCCUCAUGAUGCUGAGGAAGGUCCUCUUGAAGAGGAUACAGAACUGCGUCAGGCAGCUGGCAGAGAAGCUGUGGCAGCCUUCCAUGGACGAGGAGUCCUGUGGACACAUCCAAGAGGGGACUGGUGAAAACCAGCCUGGAGCCACGGCUCCUUCUCACUCGGAAAGAGCUAUCACGCAGCGAUAUACAGCGCCACAUGCAGCCUCCCCAGGGGCUUCGGGAUUUGCAUUACCUUUCUCAACCCCUUCAAUCGUUUUGUCUGCUUUACCUCUUCAGAGGGCCGGUGCCAAAGAAAAGGGUUCACCUCGGCAUCACCCCCAAGGUCUCUCUUAUGGUCAGAGUCACACAUGCCCUCCCGAACUGCUCUCACCAGGCGACCGUUCUGAUCACCAUACUCGCCAGAUGCAACCUCCAUAACUGUAGGAGACACAGAAGUGGGGUCAGCCCAGGCUCCAGGAAAGAUGCCCCAAUCACACAAAUGUGAAAGUCGUUUCUCAAGUGGGAAUGUUUCAAAGUGAUUCCAUAGGUGCUGCAUGGCGGUGCUGACGGCAUGGCGUCAGAAUCACUUAUCAACCAGCAUUCGGCUCUCAAACUCCCAGCCAGGCCGUUCAUCACGUCAGGAGACUGGAAACACACACAUAGUGCUGUCGGGUGCAUGUACUGAUGGCUCAUCCAGUGGUACUUAAAUUCCUGCUCUGUGCCAGCCUCCGAGGUAGAGCUGGGGAGGGGAGCAGGAAGCCGGAGGCAGGACUCCUCCCUGAGGAGCCUGUGGUUUGGCAGGGUGUGAUGAGAGCUGCAGCAGUUCUACAAGACCGCAGAGAAGGACAUGCCCACUGCCACACAUGUGGCUGGUGCCCUGGGGACCUCGACCUACACCUCUUAGAGCCAAGGGAGGUGAUGAAGCCUUACAAUGCUGGUGACACCCAGAAUCCCACGACCCACCACCGGGGCCAAGAGAGGACUCUGCUCAGCCCCUUCAGCUCCCCAGCCCCCUUCCCUGCCUGUGGGUCCAGAAGUCUCACAAAACCUAGCACCUAAACACUCUCAAAAAUGAAGACACCCUACAAGACUGGGACUGUGCAGGCCCAAGAGAAACAAACACAUGACCCCUCCCCGCAGAAGGCUGCUGACACACUGCUGUCAGAUCUAGCUGGACUUUGGAGAGGUGAGUGCUUGGCAGAAGUGAGACCACAUAAAGUCUGGCUGAAGUCAUUUCAGGAGCAGCCUGGUUCCCAUCCUGGGACAACUGAAUAGGACACGCGCCGGAGUCAGGUGAGCUCGACCCAUGGCCAGGGGCACCAGAGCCAAGACUCCAGAGCAGCGACUUCCCAAGGGAGCCCCAAACAUAAAGGGCAUCACCCAGGAAAGGGAUCAGGGCACCCGUAGCUAUAGAGGGCUGGUGAGCACCCGAGGGAGGGUUCUGUCCUGCGGGCAUCUCUGAGCCUCUGAUGUGGUAAAGUGUGAGGCGUUUCCAGAACACAUCUGAAGACAGAACACAUCUGUCCCAUGACGCUGGCCUUCGGAGUGACUGAGCCAUGGGGAACUUGCAUCAUGGAAGAGACAAGCAUCAUGAAAGGGAGAUGGUUUCCCCCAAAACCAUAUCUCCAGGCUCAACACAUGCCUUGCCGGCCUCAGCAGAGGGACGUCUCUGAGCAGAGGCGGGAAGGGGUAUAAGUCAGCCCCUCUGCCCAGCAGUCCCAGAUGGAAGGAGGAGCCACUGGGCGAGCAGAGCUCACCUCACCCCUCUGAGGCUGCAUCAGGAUGUCAGGGUCACCUGAACAAAGGGGCUUCUUCCUGCUCCUGGACACCAGCCCAGACGCUCCUGACUUACCUGGUGGGCUCAUCGAAGAACAUGACUGGUGGGUUGUUCACCAGCUCCAGUGCGAUGGCCAGGCGCUUUCGCUGGCCACCCGACAGGCUCCCCGUUCGCGUGUUGGCGCAAGACAGCAGGCCCAGUGCUGUCAGUAUCUCCUUGACCUGGGGGCGGCAGAACCAGAGACAUUGGAUUAUUUGAGCUGCCAGCCAAAGCUCACCACCUCCCAUGGCCCACGAGGGAGACCUGCUGGCUGCCCUCAGCCUGCUGGACACACUGUGCCUGGUCCACAUGGAGGUUGCCCAAGUCGAGCCCUCCCCAGGCUGCCUGGUGCCAAGUGGGGCAGGUGCCAUUUCCACAUCAGCAGUCCUGAUGAGGGACAGAGGUUGCCCAGAGGCUGUGCAGCAGUGCUGGGGUCAGACCUGAGGGCUUUCGUCCUCAUCAGCCAUAUGGCCUCUGGCAGGUGCUCAGGGCACCUUCCUCACUGCUAAGCCUAGCCCAGUGCCCUGUACAGAGAAGGUGUUCAGUAAACAGUUGAACUGAUGGAUGAAUGGACACAUGAGAGGAUGCACAAUUUCUGGUGGUUUCUGCCCAGAUUGAAGGGGAGGGUCACUGUGACCGUUACUUGAAAAAGUGAAUGCAGAGAGCGCAGAGCAGCACGGAACCCUCGAAGGCUCUUCCCAGAGCUCUUGUCAUUGCUGAGGUGGGCGUUAAGGGCAGGGACACAGUCAUAAGCACCAGGGCUCUCAGGAAGGGGGACAGCGUCACUUUUGUUCUUGUAAAUAGGUUUGACUUGAAAGCAAGGUCUCCAAGGUGCCAGGAAGGCAAUGGAACAGAUCUGCAGUGCCCCUCAAAGCAGUUAUGACCCAUGGUAGCCACCCCUCGGCCCAGGCUCCAGGAAGCAGGCUGCACGCUAAGAUACAAGCAGGGCACUGUGCACGGAGCCCUCCCUGUGUGCUCCGGAUUAUUGAUCCUGUACUGACUCAGGGAACACAGAGGUCAGCAGAUUUCUGUGUCGGCUUGGUACUGCUUUCGCCCCCGAGUCUUCUCAGAAGCAGGCCUGGGUCAGCCACUGCCAUCCUUGCCUCCCUACCCUGGGGGCAGCCGGCCUGGGCCUCCCUCCAGCAUUCACCCAGCUAGCCUCCCCACCCCGGUGGGGCAAAGCCAGCGGACCCUGGUCCAGCGGCUCCUCUAGGGAGAUGAAGUCAUCGGAGGGAGCAGGAACACACAAGGAAGAAAAUUUCCACUCUGGGCUUUUGAAUUAUUUAUGCACGGUCAGUACAAAGUGCAGCUUUGGUGACAGAAGGAAGCGGGGCACGGCUGCUGGACCGGCCAGGGCAGGUGGCAGUGCAGGGUCAGCUGACCUGGGCUCCAGCCCUGUCCUGAGCUCUUGCUGAUGCUCUUGCCCCAGCUCUGGUGCCUCCACUGGACUACUGGCUCUGAGGGCCACCAAACCAGAAACAGCUUCCAGGAGGCUGUCUGGAAAGGCUGGCAGGUGGGGGGCAUGCAAGGUGGGCAGGGCCCUCUUCUGCUGGUGUCCCAGGAUGAGGCCUCGGGGUCUUCUGGAACCACUGGCCACAGCUGGGGCUUCCAGGCUUACCGUGGGGCCCCACACAUGCGCCACAUCUUCUUCUCUCCCUCCCCUCUGACAGAGGGGAUGCUGGAAACGGAGGCCUCUGUGGAUGCCUUUCCCUCUGCACCCUUGCCCAUGAGCUGGGCCCACCCCACUUUCUCCAGAGUCCUCUCAGGAGGGACGCCACCCAGGUGGGUCUAUUUUAAAGACUAGUCAGAAAGAACAAACAAUGAUCUCAGUUGUUUAUACAUUUUCCCUAAACAAGAAACUUGCAAGCCUGGUGUAGCUCCAGCCCCCUGGGGCCUCCCAGCAGGUGCUCCAGGGAAGGUCUCAGCAGCCCAUGCUGCCCCUGGGGGCCUCACUCUUGAGGAAGUGGCCUUGCUGGAGGGCUCUGGGGAACUGAGGCUGCUUUGCUGGGAAUCAAGAAAGGCCGUGCACAACUCAUUCCACCGACUACUAGAACGUUCCAUUCCAUUGUGUUUCCAUGAGACAGAGAGAGAACCUGGACCCAGGUGCACCUCAGGGGUUAGAGGGAAGUGAGUGAAGCCGUGACAUGGCUGCGUGUCCUCCUGACGGCUGAGGAACAGAAGUGCGGGUCCCAGCUGCGUCUGCUAGUGAGAACAUGUGGUGGACGCAGUGUGGCCCCUCCGUCCUGUGUGGAGGGCUCUCUGCACUGUUCAAUCCAGCCUCAGAGGAAUCAGGACGGUGCCAGGGGCUCACUCCUCGGGGGUGAUUCAGCCACAUGAGCUGAUAUUUUUGCCCUUGUAAACCCAGCAGAAAGCAGCUGGAGGCUGUCUUCGGGGCUGUCUUAGGCAGGGCCCAGGUGCCAUGAGGACACACACCCUUGGGUGCCGCCUGCCCUCAGGCCCCACGUAGCUGCUCCCAGGAGGCGCUUCCAUUCCCUGCCGAGGUGCUGGCUUGUUCUGGGUCUUCUCGCUCCGGCAGGUGAAGGGCCUGGCUUGCUGUGGCCUCGGCACAGAGCCUGCUGAGGAGCACUCACUGUGCACCCAGGGAGAGUCUUUCCCGAGCUCUUCCAGAAAAGGCUGGUGGCUGUCACCUCGAGCUGCAGGGAAUUGAUCCCACAGUCCCUCCAUAGGGAUCACAUGGGCUCCAUCGACCUCAGAGACCUUAAAGAAACAUCCAGUUCAGGCUGGCACUGGCCUGAAAAGCAAGUGGGGCCUGGCUUCCUGUCCCCAUGUUAUAGGGCAAAGCUCGGCUCGUGCAUGGCAGGCAGUAGCCCAAGGCCACCAGUGGGUUCCAGGAGGGGUCCCCUGUGUGCUUAGCUCCACCUCACUCCAGGACCUCUCCGUGUUAGCAGGGCUCUCCACCCUCUGCCUCCACACCUGCUCCCCCCGAAUCCGGUGAUCCCCAAGACCCUCUCCCUCAUCUGCUCUGUCCUCAGACCUUUGGUUUGGAUCAGAGAGACAGAAUUCCCUCUCUCCAGUGCCUCAUGCUCCAGAGCGCUCGGCCCCUCUUCCACAACGACCAUCAGUGGCUGAUUCCACCAUCUCUCCUUGGAGCCCCCACAGCUGCCCCUCAGCUUGCAGGCCAGCGUCUGGAGGGGUCUUUGGGACCUUGAAGGAGGGCAAAGAGAUUGGACUGUGCUUCCGACACCCCUUGAAAGCAGGGAGGUUGGGGGAUGGGAAGGAGGGCCCUGAGAGGUGGUCCCAGGGGCACUGUGGUCCUCUGGGCUUCAAAAGGAGCAGCUUCUUGAGUCUCCGGGUGGAAAAGCCUCUGCUCUGUGGGGGCCCUGCACACUCUUGCCAAUCUCUCCUCUUGUCCUGCAGCUGAUGGCAAGGAGGACCCAGGGGUGGGAGGCGGCAAAGCUGACCUCAGACAGGGAGAGUGGAGGUCACCCUGGCUCAAGCCCGGGGCCCCCGUUCUGUUGAUUUCUGUGCAUCUCCCACGGGAGACUUUGCCGAGACUCAGCUCUGACAGCUGGCUUUCUGUGUGUUCUUCCGUGUGCCUUCGGUGUGGAGAAUGAAGGCUGUGAUUUAGCGCCCCACACCAGGCACUUCCACAACAGAAAUUCCUGUCUCAAUUCCGGAGGCCACAGUCUGGGGUGGAGGGCAGCAGGGCUGGUUCCUAAGGCCCCUCUCCUGGGCUGGCAGAUGCCGCCUCCUCCUGUGUCCUCAUGGGAUCAUCCCUUGGGCUGUGUCUGGGUCCUCUUCUCCUCUCACAGGGACACAGUCAGACUGGACUGGGCCCCCCAUAUGAAUCCACUUUAACUUCAUCACCUCUAUUAAGACCCUAUCUUCAAAUACAGCCAAUUCUGGGUUUCGGGGCAUAGGCUGUAACAUACCAUCUUUUUUGGGGUACUCAGGCCAUAACACUCAUCUUCCAUAACUUGGUAUCAUCAACACUCUUGGGCUUGGAGGUGAUGUGUGUGUGUGUGUGUGUGUUGAGGGGGGCGCAGAUGUCUAUGUUACGUUGUUUAGAAAACCCUGUCCAGAGAGGGUUCUCGCCUUUCAACCUAGACAAUAAAGUCACAAGGCUGGGUCUUCUGUCCUCAUGAAGGGCCAGAAACACAUGAUUUCCACGUUUUCUCUCUUUUGGGUUCCGUUAAUCCAUUUUCUUUUCAAUCUCAGAAUACAAGAAUUCCACACAAAACAUUUUCUGUAGCAAUGAAGCAUUAUUUUACUUCUCUCAGACACUGGGCUCUUUCUACCUACACUGGGCAUUUGAGCCCCGGACCGCGAUGACAUGGGCUGAGUCCUGAGUUUCAAAGGGUGCAGUUGCCGGGCAGAGGCGGGGAGAAGGAGUGUUAAGGUGCCGGGCAGAGGCAGGGAGAGGGAGCAUUAAGGUUGUCCGACUCUUUCCUCCAUAGCAGAGUGGUUCACAUUUACUUAAUAUUAGCGGUUACGCACCACAGCAGAGGGGGAAAUGAUGAAAACAGAAUUGCUGGGUGUUUCUCUAUCCCAUCAAUCACUCCAUUUUAAACCAGGACACAAGGGGCCAGGUCGAGCCAUUGGCACUAACCCAGCAAACCUCACUCUCAGUGGCUGGACUGCGGUCAUGUAAGGGUGUUAGGAGAGAAAGAUAAUGUUACAGAAGAGGGGUUCCCCAGACCCCAUCUCAUGCUGAAAAUCCCACCAGCACUCGCCAGAGUGGAAAGGACAGUGGGCUUCCCAGGGAGGGUGUGUGAGCCCAGGCUGGUGGGCUCCUUCCUGUGUGGCUUUCUGCUGCUCCCCCUGGCUCUACCCACCUGCACCUGUCCCUGCUUCUGAAUUUGUGAAGAAAAAAAAAAAUUGGCUAUGGGGAUUAGAAAGUCUUCAUCAUCCUGAAAAUGUCUUUAUUUUCUUUUUUAAAAGGCUGGUUAAUAACACGUAAGAACUAAAGUUCUUCUUGCAAGUGCGGGUGGGUGGAGGGUGGUUAUUUUUAAAUGAAUGACUAACCAUCUUCAUUGUUUUUGUCUUAUAAAACAUUGAAUACAGAUCAUAUUAAACACUGAAAGGUGCAGCACUCGUGGUCUAACCCUGAAGCUGGCAUCUUCUGGCCCCAUGAGUGCCAAGGCUGCCGCCCCUCACGUUACAUUGUGACUCCUACAUCUGAGAAUCAAAUCCAUGAUGUGUGCACCAGAUCCAUCUCUCCUGGCGUCUGGCUGCAGCAGGCCACAGCACUCCCUGAAAUGUCACCUGUCCCACACACGGAAGGCAAGGCAAAAACAAAUCAACAAACAAAAGCCAGUGCCAGAAACCCGGCAGGCACGCUUUCCGCAUGCCCUCCAUGUACUUUCCGGACCACUUACCAUCUCCCUUCUGCCUUCAUCCUUCUCCUGAAGCUUCAGAUGUGCCGACACCUGCGGGGGACAAGGACAGCAGUGUAGAAGCAGAACAGAUGGCCAUCAGCAGGCAGGUCCAGUGGCGAGGUUGGAGAGGACAGAGAAGACAGCAGGGGUCACUAGUCACAUCUGCGGAGAAAGCAGCCACUGGGUCUCGAGCACGUGGCCUUGGGGUUCACUCAAGAACUCACUGAGAAGCCAAACUCACACUACCAAAGAGGCAGGAGCAAUUCGGGAAUCAGCAGGGUGUGUGUGAAGCUCGAGUUUACGGCAUACACAGAACAGUGACCAGCAGGUAAAGAGAACUUCACGGCUGCUUUGCACCUUAUGUUUGCCCCCUCCUCAGAGGUCCUCGUGCCCCAUCUGAACGUCCAUUUGGAGGCCAGAUCAACAGUCAGGGUACCAUGGGGCACACAGCGCCUAGGUAGGCUCGGCCCAGGGAAUGGCAUCCGCUUACCCACAGAACAUGCAGGACCAGGGGACAUGAGUGGGAAUAGCCCUGCAGGUUCCUCUCUUUCUGUUUCCCCACAAAGAAGGUUAGAUAGCAGAUCACGUGUUUGCAAAUGUAACCUGCUUCUCUUUGCUGAGCUAAGAACCCCUUGGCAUUGCCCUUCACAUGACACGCUAGGCAGCUGCCACUCUCGGUCACCACAGGGAGGGAGCUUUGCCCAACCCCAGUCAGAAAGGCCAGGUAGGAUCUCUCCAGGCAGAAAACCAAGGUGAACCCUCAUCUAUGACCAAAGCACAGAGCAGACCGAACUGAGGGUGUCCCCUAGGGUGCCAGGAGAGACGUGAAGCCUGGAGACUCUUUUUUUGCAGCGAAUAAAGAGGAAGCAGAAAAAUAAACAGCCCUCCACACAAAGCCAGCCAUGACUGGCAACCGGAGCUGCAUGCUGAUUUUCAGUCUCCUCUUGAUGGGAGGAUUCUCAUGGCCACCUCUGAGUUGAGCCUUUAAAAAGUAAACAAAAAAUGGCCCCCGCUGGGCACAGUGGCUCACACCUGCAAUCUCAGCACUUUGGGAAGUCGAUGCAGGCAGAUCAUGAGAUCAAGAGUUCAAGACCAGCCUAGUCAACACAGUGAAACUCGUCUCUACUAAAAAUACAAAAAUUAGCAGGGCACGAAGGUGGGCACCUGUAGUCCCAGCUACUUGGGAGGCCGAAGCAGAAGAAUUGCUUGAACCUAGGAGGCAGAGGUAGCAGUGAGCCAACAUUGUGCCACUGCAUUCCAACCAGGGUGACAGAGUGAGACUCUGUCUUAAAAAAAAAAGGCCCUGGAAGCCCAGAGGCAUGGCACUGGGCUGGGUCAUGGUCUGCCCAAGGAACACAACCAGCUGUUUCAGAAAGCCAGGCAUAGGACACCUCCUGGACCCUUCUGUGGCCCCAAGAGGGGGAGGUAUUUUUAAACCUCCCCAAAUGCUGGACUUGUCCACAGGGAAGGUAAGUGAAGACACUAUGGGAAGGCUUACUAGGAGUGAAAAGAAACAGUCACCAAGUUGAAUGGAUUAGGCACCAACUGUAUACCAGAAUUCCACCCCCCCCUCCCUGCAUCUUCCCUUUCAGUGUUUACACCGACCCUGUGCGGUCCUGCAGAUGAGGACACUGAGGCUGUAAGGGGGAAGCAGGUGCGUGGCAAGGAGGUCGAGCUGCCAGUCACAGGCGCACCUUUGGAGGAGACAGCUCUGGCCACACAUGGCCAUCGGCAGCCGGGCGGCCCUGGGCUCCUUGCGUUACUGGGGGAAGCUCCAUUUCUCAUCCACUUUCUUGGGAUGACCUAUCUGGUGUGUGUAGAGCUAUGUGCUUGGGGCCAGGGAUCCAGGAGAUGCUCGGCCAUUGCUGGUUUCAUUUUCCCACCUGGCAGGCAGCUGACUCAGAGGAAUAGACCCUUGGGGUUGACUAAGACACCAGGUGAGUGGGUGCUUGGGCCAAAGACACAGAAUGACUCAAGGAUGGCUGAUGGGAAGGAGAAUCCCAAGCAUUGGCCUGCAGGGGAAAUGGGAUGUCCGCUGCCCUGGUUGGAUCACCCAAGUCAGCUGGGUUACUAACCUUCUCAGAAGCUUGACCCCAACCCUGCCAAACAAGGCCCAUUAAACUCAAGGUCUUGGGGGUUUGGGGAUGAAGCUGCUGUCCCAACAGCAAGCCUGGAGUUAGAACUCUGCUAGAGGGAGGUGCU
Non-coding RNA from Callithrix jacchus (white-tufted-ear marmoset), 12316 nucleotides. The record is from RefSeq and is a predicted model, not a curated record. Lineage: Eukaryota; Metazoa; Chordata; Mammalia; Primates; Cebidae.